This 26-nucleotide small RNA is filed under the name Bombyx mori (domestic silkworm). RNAcentral's name for it is "ovarian small RNA-32146". The record is from RNAcentral. Lineage: Eukaryota; Metazoa; Arthropoda; Insecta; Lepidoptera; Bombycidae.
UGAGAGCUGACGACAAAGUCGGUGGA